Molecule: long non-coding RNA, 546 nt
Filed under: Anas platyrhynchos platyrhynchos (common mallard)
Lineage: Eukaryota; Metazoa; Chordata; Aves; Anseriformes; Anatidae
Description: lncRNA (ENSAPLG00000029609.1)
Source: RNAcentral
ACUGCAAAGAAAGUAAAAAAAAUAAUUUUUACAAUAUUAAUAAUUGCAGUAAAAUAAAUUAGGAAAAAAAAAAAAAAGACAAGAUCUAUUUAUCUAUUCCAGAGAACAACGAGGUAUGAGCCUCCUUUUUUUUUUUUUUUUUUUUUUCCUGCUGUAUUUCCAAGGUCAAACAAAGCCCUUGGCUGCACAAGGUAACAACUAUGAGCACACACCUAGAAGGCAGCUCUAUGGCAACACAGCACCUGUGGGCAGGAAUUCUUGUCACAAUCAUCUCAGUCACUGAAACUGCUGGAGUCCAAGAUUUGCAGCAAGCAAAGUGGAGUGGCUGGUGUGCCAGGCUCAGCCUCUGUUCAGCGCCACUUGACUCACAAAGAAUGAAGGCCUGGGAGGAAAACUCCAGGUUUGGCACAUGGCAGUUAAUAGCAUCUUGAUCUGGUUUCCCUUUCACCUUAAGGUAUCUGCAACUCUGAAUUGUGAGUAUUUAACAAAAGAUACUUAGCAAGGAAUCAAACCCACUACAUUUUGCAGCUCUAGCUAAAGGGGAAA